CGACCGCUGGCGGCGUGCUUACCACAUGCAAGUCGACCGGAAAGGCCCUGCUUUUGUGGGGUGCUCGAGUGGCGAACGGGUGAGUAACACGUGAGUAAUCUGCCCCUGACUUUGGGAUAACUUCAGGAAACUGGGGCUAAUACCGGAUAGGAGCUCCUGCUGCAUGGUGGGGGUUGGAAAGUUUCGGCGGUUGGGGAUGGACUCGCGGCUUAUCAGCUUGUUGGUGGGGUAGUGGCUUACCAAGGCUUUGACGGGUAGCCGGCCUGAGAGGGUGACCGGCCACAUUGGGACUGAGAUACGGCCCAGACUCCUACGGGAGGCAGCAGUGGGGAAUAUUGCACAAUGGGCGGAAGCCUGAUGCAGCAACGCCGCGUGCGGGAUGACGGCCUUCGGGUUGUAAACCGCUUUCGCCUGUGACGAAGCGUGAGUGACGGUAAUGGGUAAAGAAGCACCGGCUAACUACGUG
Molecule: ribosomal RNA, 466 nt
Filed under: uncultured bacterium
Lineage: Bacteria
Description: partial 16S ribosomal RNA
Rfam family: Bacterial small subunit ribosomal RNA
Source: RNAcentral